AUAUUUGCAGCAAAUUAAGGUUGUGUUUUAUUAUUAACACAUUAAAAGGGAAUCAAGUAAAAAUUCUUGAGCUGUACCCGCAACUGUAAGCUUUGUUCUGAAAAGAAUGCUUGUUGUAAACUACAAAACCACUGUUCGCCGCGGCGAAUGGGAAGGUAAACAACAAGACGCAAGCCAGGAGACCUGCCUUUGUAACAAAUAUCGA
RNAcentral lists this non-coding RNA (205 nucleotides) under Flavobacterium plurextorum. Lineage: Bacteria; Pseudomonadati; Bacteroidota; Flavobacteriia; Flavobacteriales; Flavobacteriaceae. The record is from RNAcentral.